CCUACGGGGGCAGCAGUGGGGAAUAUUGGACAAUGGGCGAAAGCCUGAUCCAGCCAUGCCGCGUGUGUGAAGAAGGCCUUCGGGUUGUAAAGCACUUUCAGUGGGGAAGAAAGCCUUGGGGCUAAUACCCUCGAGGAAGGACAUCACCCACAGAAGAAGCACCGGCUAACUCCGUGCCAGCAGCCGCGGUAAUACGGAGGGUGCGAGCGUUAAUCGGAAUUACUGGGCGUAAAGCGCGCGUAGGCGGUCUGAUAAGCCGGUUGUGAAAGCCCCGGGCUCAACCUGGGAACGGCAUCCGGAACUGUCAGGCUAGAGUGCAGGAGAGGAAGGUAGAAUUCCCGGUGUAGCGGUGAAAUGCGUAGAGAUCGGGAGGAAUACCAGUGGCGAAGGCGGCCUUCUGGACUGACACUGACGCUGAGGUGCGAAAGCGUGGGUAGCAAACAGGAUUAGAUACCCGUGUAGUC
Molecule: ribosomal RNA, 464 nt
Filed under: Vreelandella stevensii
Lineage: Bacteria; Pseudomonadati; Pseudomonadota; Gammaproteobacteria; Oceanospirillales; Halomonadaceae
Description: partial 16S ribosomal RNA
Rfam family: Bacterial small subunit ribosomal RNA
Source: RNAcentral